Molecule: ribosomal RNA, 253 nt
Filed under: uncultured bacterium
Lineage: Bacteria
Description: partial 16S ribosomal RNA
Rfam family: Bacterial small subunit ribosomal RNA
Source: RNAcentral
UACAGAGGGUGCAAGCGUUAAUCGGAAUUACUGGGCGUAAAGCGUGCGUAGACGGUUGGAUAAGUCGGGUGUGAAAGCCCCGGGCUCAACCUGGGAAUUGCAUUCGAGACUGUCUGGCUAGGGUGCGGAAGAGGGAAGCGGAACUUCCGGUGUAGCGGUGAAAUGCGUAGAUAUCGGAAAGAACACCAGUGGCGAAAGCGGCUUCCUGGUCCAGCACCGACGUUCAGGCACGAAAGCGUGGGGAGCAAACAGG